This 469-nucleotide ribosomal RNA is filed under the name uncultured bacterium. Its description in RNAcentral is "bacterial SSU rRNA". It matches the Rfam family "Bacterial small subunit ribosomal RNA", at positions 332 to 793 of the family's 1533-position model. The record is from RNAcentral.
AGCACUCCUACGGGAGGCAGCAGUGGGGAAUAUUGCACAAUGGGCGCAAGCCUGAUGCAGCCAUGCCGCGUGUAUGAAGAAGGCCUUCGGGUUGUAAAGUACUUUCAGCAGUGAGGAAGGUGGGUAUGUUAAUAGCAUAUUCAUUUGACGUUAGCUGCAGAAGAAGCACCGGCUAACUCCGUGCCAGCAGCCGCGGUAAUACGGAGGGUGCGAGCGUUAAUCGGAAUUACUGGGCGUAAAGCGCAUGCAGGUGGUUUGUUAAGUCAGAUGUGAAAGCCCGGGGCUCAACCUCGGAAUUGCAUUUGAAACUGGCAAACUAGAGUACUGUAGAGGGGGUAGAAUUUCAGGUGUAGCGGUGAAAAUGCGUAGAGAUCUGAAGGAAUACCGGUGGCGAAGGCGGCCCCCUGGACAGAUACUGACACUCAGAUGCGAAAGCGUGGGGAGCAAACAGGAUUAGAUACCCGGGUAG